Molecule: ribosomal RNA, 253 nt
Filed under: Sphingomonas sp.
Lineage: Bacteria; Pseudomonadati; Pseudomonadota; Alphaproteobacteria; Sphingomonadales; Sphingomonadaceae
Also listed under: 2 other names
Description: partial 16S ribosomal RNA
Rfam family: Bacterial small subunit ribosomal RNA
Source: RNAcentral
UACGGAGGGGGCUAGCGUUGUUCGGAAUUACUGGGCGUAAAGCGCACGUAGGCGGCUUUGUAAGUUAGAGGUGAAAGCCUGGUGCUCAACACCAGAACUGCCUUUAAGACUGCAUCGCUUGAAUCAUGGAGAGGCGGGUGGAAUUCCGAGUGUAGAGGUGAAAUUCGUAGAUAUUCGGAAGAACACCAGUGGCGAAGGCGGCCCGCUGGACAUGUAUUGACGCUGAGGUGCGAAAGCGUGGGGAGCAAACAGG